CCCGAUCGAUACGCUAAGUUCUCGCUAAUGCACCAAGUUUAAGGAAAGGCCAGAUCACAUUGAUAUCAUUUGUUGUUCUGUAUUGUCCCCACAAAAUGGAUUCAAAUAACUUGGCGGGGGCAGUGAGGAAUAGAGAGCAGAGAACAACGAAAAAAGGCUGGAUCACAUUUCUAUAUAGUUUUAUACGUAGUCUUAUCUUGCAUUUCUUCCAGAGAAUGUUUCUUGCUGUGAACCCAUGUGCUCCUGGUCACGCAGCAAUAACUCUUACCGCUUCGCCAAGGCUCGGCCUCAGUGAAGAACAAAAACUAAAUUUCCAUCAAUUCAUAGCUCGAUCCCCAUAGUUAAGCCAUAACUCGAAAGAAAUGCAAUGUUUUAUCUAAUUCAGUUGAAUGUAUCAAGUUAUGUGGUAAUGACCUGCUUAUCAAUGAUUAUAUCAUUUAAGCAAUAUAGAGAUUGCUUAUUACCAAUCACACCUAUCUGAAGUUUUUGCCAAGUUGGUACCCUAUAAUCCUAACAACAAGUUCUUUUCAUUAGCCAGACCAAUUCCAUUCCACGUCUAGAAAAAAUUGAAACCUUAUAUCAGAUUGUGAGAAGAAAAACUUUACCUGAGAGAUAUACCAUUCAGUUGUAUUAUAGAUAUUGUAAUCAGCACAAAACAUGGGCAACAGGGUUAUCUAUCUGCACAUGUAAAUUUUGGAACGGUAGAUAAAAACAUUAACAAUAAAAAACACCAGAAUUUAGACAGUUUGACAUCAAGUGUAUUCUUUGAAACUCAUAGGAAAUAACAUAAUGUAUCUAAAAGCAAUAUUUGAGGCACCUCAAACAAAGCAAAAUCUAGGAAAGCGAUAGUGUAUCUACCAAGGUCGAAUCCUCUACUGAUGCAGUGCCGCUUUUUAAACUAUGGUUGUAUUGUCAGUGAAAAUCUGAUGUAGUUUCCACGUCUGUCAUUCUACCUCCAAUCCUGCUUCCUUCAGCAGUCAUGGCUUAAAGAUCCACAAUAUCAACAAGAUUGUGCAAAAAAAACAUACAAUUAGUCACCAAAUAUACUUUAAAACAUGAACAUUUAGAUGAAAGAAUUAACAGGUAAAGAUAAAUAUGUUAAUACAAAAUAGUAAGCAAUGCUUAAAAUUUUGUUGGAAAAGUAAGUUACAACUAAUACCAACAAGACUUACUGGUAAAAAUGAGUAAGAUUGAACAAAGAACAUAAUAAAUUACAAAAAGUUUUCUUAUUAAAUACCAAAAGAGUUCGUAAAAGUGAACUUAUGAAGGUACUAAUUUCGGUCCAUAGAGAAUAAGCAACCUAACAUUUAAAUGCAAAGUUAUAAAGCAUGUUAUUUUGGGUUGAAAUAAAAUGAUAGCGCAACUUUCUGUAGCAACUGACAGUACUUUGUAGUACUAACAUAGGGAAGCAUUUCAGUCUGCAGGACUACCUGACUCAAUGAACAUGCAGAACAACACAAAGAGAAGAAAAGGAACUUUUCUCCACCUGAAAGUCCAUUAACCUGCAUCUGCAUAUGUAACACAACUAUCACACUGGAAACAUAUAUCUAUCUAAUGGAAUAUAUCAUUAAGAGGGGAAUAGAAGUAGUACGUAGGUCCAGUGUAGUCCUGAACCCAUCUAGAAAUGGAAAGAAAGAUCAUUAAUAACAAGAUGAGAAAAGAAAUCUAGUUACAAGCUAAUUCUGCACGAUGAUUGUAUUAGUGCUGUAUAUUGUGUUAGAAACAAUAUUUGCUUGAACAAGCUAAUUCUUAAGAUCGCCCUGUAAUGUAAGGGGAACACGAAUCGUCUAAAAAUAAGUUACUUACAGAAAGAACAUCACAGAACAUGUACGGCUAAAAUAUGAUUUUCUCUGUUUUCCUCUUGAAGAUCACCGCUCUUCUGAUAGCAAUAGGAGAACUGGGAGUUGAAAUUGAAGAACUGUAGUAUACGUUGCAGCUGAAAAUGACUAUGAAAACCUUAACAAAUACUAACUCACCAUCAAGAACAGUAAAGCUUCAAAUUUUAUGGAUUGCAUCAGUGAGCCUGUCAUUCCGUCUAUAUCAAGAACAAGUAUAUGCUAGCUGACAAUGGCAAUCCCAAUUUAUAGUUAUUUGUAGACCUUUUUCAUUUAAGUAAAUAUGUUUAACUUAUAAAUAAGGUUUAUUUAUAAGUUAUAUUACAGUUUGACUUAAAAGAACAAAGAUUUAUCUGUAAAAGCUCAUAUAAAUAGGUUGAUUAAAUAAGCCUUUGACAAAGUCUACAUCAGUUUGAGGGGAUACAUCAAUAAGAAACAGAAAUUUCUUCUAACACUUCAACUAUAUGACAAGGGUAUCACUAUUUCUAUUUGGAUUUACAAAGCAGUAGUUACUCGACAGCAAAAGUAUAUAACAUAGUAUCAUCUCUUUAAAACUGAAGUUUUGAAUAAUAGAGCUUAAAACUUUGUUUGGAAAAUUAUAGUAGCUAAUACCAACAUGAGUUACUGGUAAAGAACUUUAACUCACCCGAUCAGUUGUCUUCAUUCCCAUUAAUUUCCCUUUAAUGACUUCUUUGAGUCCUCACUUAUGGAGAUGGAGCUGUUAUGAAAAACAUAUUAACAAAGAAAAGAUAAGUCGGCUGAAACACCAAUUUCUCUUCAAGCAGUUGAAUUUCACAAAAUCAAGAAGCAUUCAACCAUUAUUUUAAUUGGAAUUGCAAAAAUACCAAGCAAAGCCCCUAAUUUCACUUCUGCCAAAAGCGAAACAAAAUCGUCAGUGGCAAUCAAUGUAGACUGCAAAAUUACCUAUUUAGAUUUUCUCCGGAAGACUCAAAUAAGC
This 2793-nucleotide long non-coding RNA is filed under the name Nicotiana tabacum (common tobacco). Its description in RNAcentral is "long non-coding RNA (NTAB_LNC000478)". Lineage: Eukaryota; Viridiplantae; Streptophyta; Magnoliopsida; Solanales; Solanaceae. The record is from RNAcentral.